UACGUAGGGUCCGAGCGUUUGUCCGGAAUUACUGGGCGUAAAGAGCUCGUAGGUGGUUUGUCGCGUCUGCCGUGAAAGUCCGGGGCUCAACUCCGGAUCUGCGGUGGGUACGGGCAGACUAGAGUGAUGUAGGGGAGACUGGAAUUCCUGGUGUAGCGGUGAAAUGCGCAGAUAUCAGGAGGAACACCGAUGGCGAAGGCAGGUCUCUGGGCAUUACCUGACGCUGAGGAGCGAAAGCGUGGGGAGCGAACAGG
This 254-nucleotide ribosomal RNA is filed under the name uncultured bacterium. Its description in RNAcentral is "partial 16S ribosomal RNA". It matches the Rfam family "Bacterial small subunit ribosomal RNA", at positions 524 to 776 of the family's 1533-position model. The record is from RNAcentral.